GUAACUAUUAAGUUUAUUCAGACGCUGAUUGCAACUACAAAGGGUUUAAGUGUUGUCCAACCGGCGGGCGGACCCGCCGAGGAAACGAAGGUACUCAAAAGACAUGGGUAAGAGAUGGCAGGCAAAGCCCGCAACUCUAGGUAAUGAUCCUUCCGCAGGUUCACCUACGGAAA
This 173-nucleotide unclassified non-coding RNA is filed under the name uncultured fungus. Its description in RNAcentral is "sequence contains ITS1". Lineage: Eukaryota; Fungi. The record is from RNAcentral.